Non-coding RNA from Paramuricea clavata, 389 nucleotides. NCBI's taxonomy places the organism in Eukaryota, Metazoa, Cnidaria, Anthozoa, Malacalcyonacea, Plexauridae. The record is from the annotation of a GenBank genome assembly.
GACUAAGAUAUGCAUAGAGGGACUCAACCCCCACCCUCCCAGAUUAACAUGGAAUUCUAACAAGGAGAGCUGAGGCUGCCCCCCACACACACACACACACACCACACCACACACACACACACACACACACACACACACACACACACACACACACACACACACACACACACACACACACACACACACCACGGCAUAAAGCAUCUCAAGCAAUAAUUCCUAUCAUAAUAUUUAUUAAUAAUUGCUGACUCCCAGCAUUCUCGGUAUAGUUAUUUUCGUAUAAGUGGAUGAGCCUUGUGUUCGGUGACAGUCGGUCUGACAAUGCAACACCCAACAUAUUUGAGAUGGAUUUUACUGAAAGACAUUAUUUGUGUCAGGAGUCAAGGGUCGGG